This 89-nucleotide transfer RNA is filed under the name Chloroparvula japonica. RNAcentral's name for it is "tRNA-Ser". It matches the Rfam family "tRNA". Rfam says of the family: Transfer RNA (tRNA) molecules are approximately 80 nucleotides in length. Their secondary structure includes four short double-helical elements and three loops (D, anti-codon, and T loops). The record is from RNAcentral. Lineage: Eukaryota; Viridiplantae; Chlorophyta; Chloropicophyceae; Chloropicales; Chloropicaceae.
GGAGGGGUGACCGAGCGGCUGAAGGUAACGCAUUGCUAAUGCGUCGUGUGGUUUACACUGCACCGAGGGUUCGAAUCCCUUCCCCUCCA